This 2927-nucleotide ribosomal RNA is filed under the name Escherichia coli O104:H4. Its description in RNAcentral is "bacterial LSU rRNA". It matches the Rfam family "Bacterial large subunit ribosomal RNA". Lineage: Bacteria; Pseudomonadati; Pseudomonadota; Gammaproteobacteria; Enterobacterales; Enterobacteriaceae. The record is from RNAcentral.
GGGUUGUGAGGUUAAGCGACUAAGCGUACACGGUGGAUGCCCUGGCAGUCAGAGGCGAUGAAGGACGUGCUAAUCUGCGAUAAGCGUCGGUAAGGUGAUAUGAACCGUUAUAACCGGCGAUUUCCGAAUGGGGAAACCCAGUGUGAUUCGUCACACUAUCAUUAACUGAAUCCAUAGGUUAAUGAGGCGAACCGGGGGAACUGAAACAUCUAAGUACCCCGAGGAAAAGAAAUCAACCGAGAUUCCCCCAGUAGCGGCGAGCGAACGGGGAGCAGCCCAGAGCCUGAAUCAGUGUGUGUGUUAGUGGAAGCGUCUGGAAAGGCGCGCGAUACAGGGUGACAGCCCCGUACACAAAAAUGCACAUGCUGUGAGCUCGAUGAGUAGGGCGGGACACGUGGUAUCCUGUCUGAAUAUGGGGGACCAUCCUCCAAGGCUAAAUACUCCUGACUGACCGAUAGUGAACCAGUACCGUGAGGGAAAGGCGAAAAGAACCCCGGCGAGGGGAGUGAAAAAGAACCUGAAACCGUGUACGUACAAGCAGUGGGAGCACGCUUAGGCGUGUGACUGCGUACCUUUUGUAUAAUGGGUCAGCGACUUAUAUUCUGUAGCAAGGUUAACCGAAUAGGGGAGCCGAAGGGAAACCGAGUCUUAACUGGGCGUUAAGUUGCAGGGUAUAGACCCGAAACCCGGUGAUCUAGCCAUGGGCAGGUUGAAGGUUGGGUAACACUAACUGGAGGACCGAACCGACUAAUGUUGAAAAAUUAGCGGAUGACUUGUGGCUGGGGGUGAAAGGCCAAUCAAACCGGGAGAUAGCUGGUUCUCCCCGAAAGCUAUUUAGGUAGCGCCUCGUGAAUUCAUCUCCGGGGGUAGAGCACUGUUUCGGCAAGGGGGUCAUCCCGACUUACCAACCCGAUGCAAACUGCGAAUACCGGAGAAUGUUAUCACGGGAGACACACGGCGGGUGCUAACGUCCGUCGUGAAGAGGGAAACAACCCAGACCGCCAGCUAAGGUCCCAAAGUCAUGGUUAAGUGGGAAACGAUGUGGGAAGGCCCAGACAGCCAGGAUGUUGGCUUAGAAGCAGCCAUCAUUUAAAGAAAGCGUAAUAGCUCACUGGUCGAGUCGGCCUGCGCGGAAGAUGUAACGGGGCUAAACCAUGCACCGAAGCUGCGGCAGCGACACUAUGUGUUGUUGGGUAGGGGAGCGUUCUGUAAGCCUGUGAAGGUGUACUGUGAGGUAUGCUGGAGGUAUCAGAAGUGCGAAUGCUGACAUAAGUAACGAUAAAGCGGGUGAAAAGCCCGCUCGCCGGAAGACCAAGGGUUCCUGUCCAACGUUAAUCGGGGCAGGGUGAGUCGACCCCUAAGGCGAGGCCGAAAGGCGUAGUCGAUGGGAAACAGGUUAAUAUUCCUGUACUUGGUGUUACUGCGAAGGGGGACGGAGAAGGCUAUGUUGGCCGGGCGACGGUUGUCCCGGUUUAAGCGUGUAGGCUGGUUUUCCAGGCAAAUCCGGAAAAUCAAGGCUGAGGCGUGAUGACGAGGCACUACGGUGCUGAAGCAACAAAUGCCCUGCUUCCAGGAAAAGCCUCUAAGCAUCAGGUAACAUCAAAUCGUACCCCAAACCGACACAGGUGGUCAGGUAGAGAAUACCAAGGCGCUUGAGAGAACUCGGGUGAAGGAACUAGGCAAAAUGGUGCCGUAACUUCGGGAGAAGGCACGCUGAUAUGUAGGUGAAGUCCCUCGCGGAUGGAGCUGAAAUCAGUCGAAGAUACCAGCUGGCUGCAACUGUUUAUUAAAAACACAGCACUGUGCAAACACGAAAGUGGACGUAUACGGUGUGACGCCUGCCCGGUGCCGGAAGGUUAAUUGAUGGGGUCAGCGCAAGCGAAGCUCUUGAUCGAAGCCCCGGUAAACGGCGGCCGUAACUAUAACGGUCCUAAGGUAGCGAAAUUCCUUGUCGGGUAAGUUCCGACCUGCACGAAUGGCGUAAUGAUGGCCAGGCUGUCUCCACCCGAGACUCAGUGAAAUUGAACUCGCUGUGAAGAUGCAGUGUACCCGCGGCAAGACGGAAAGACCCCGUGAACCUUUACUAUAGCUUGACACUGAACAUUGAGCCUUGAUGUGUAGGAUAGGUGGGAGGCUUUGAAGUGUGGACGCCAGUCUGCAUGGAGCCGACCUUGAAAUACCACCCUUUAAUGUUUGAUGUUCUAACGUUGACCCGUGAUCCGGGUUGCGGACAGUGUCUGGUGGGUAGUUUGACUGGGGCGGUCUCCUCCUAAAGAGUAACGGAGGAGCACGAAGGUUGGCUAAUCCUGGUCGGACAUCAGGAGGUUAGUGCAAUGGCAUAAGCCAGCUUGACUGCGAGCGUGACGGCGCGAGCAGGUGCGAAAGCAGGUCAUAGUGAUCCGGUGGUUCUGAAUGGAAGGGCCAUCGCUCAACGGAUAAAAGGUACUCCGGGGAUAACAGGCUGAUACCGCCCAAGAGUUCAUAUCGACGGCGGUGUUUGGCACCUCGAUGUCGGCUCAUCACAUCCUGGGGCUGAAGUAGGUCCCAAGGGUAUGGCUGUUCGCCAUUUAAAGUGGUACGCGAGCUGGGUUUAGAACGUCGUGAGACAGUUCGGUCCCUAUCUGCCGUGGGCGCUGGAGAACUGAGGGGGGCUGCUCCUAGUACGAGAGGACCGGAGUGGACGCAUCACUGGUGUUCGGGUUGUCAUGCCAAUGGCACUGCCCGGUAGCUAAAUGCGGAAGAGAUAAGUGCUGAAAGCAUCUAAGCACGAAACUUGCCCCGAGAUGAGUUCUCCCUGACUCCUUGAGAGUCCUGAAGGAACGUUGAAGACGACGACGUUGAUAGGCCGGGUGUGUAAGCGCAGCGAUGCGUUGAGCUAACCGGUACUAAUGAACCGUGAGGCUUAACCUUACAACGCCGAAGCUGUU